GCCAUCUACUGAUACCAGAGGAAUAUUUUGUUUUCAUUUGGAAUCUGGAUUUUUUUGCAGCAUAAUUCUGAGAAACAGAAAGAUUAAAAAAAAAGCAAAUAGCCCACAGAAAGUGCUUAAAUAAAUAGUAAUAUGCAUUGGAAGACCUACUUCACAUUCAUCUUAUGCAAUUAGAGCUAUAACAUUUGGCAGUUCAACAAUCACUAAAGGGAAGGCUGUAUGCAAAUAGACUAUUCUCCAUCUCUGCAUCUAGCUCUUUCUGACGCUGUUUUGGAUUCCACUUUUUUAAUGAUAUGGUGCAGUGGGUAACUUAAAAUUAAUUACAAGGUUCUUUGCUAACAAGGGGAGUGGGGG
This is a non-coding RNA of Pelobates cultripes (western spadefoot toad), 354 nucleotides long. Lineage: Eukaryota; Metazoa; Chordata; Amphibia; Anura; Pelobatidae. The record is from the annotation of a GenBank genome assembly.